UACCAGACUCCUACGGGAGGCAGCAGUGGGGAAUAUUGCACAAUGGGGGAAACCCUGAUGCAGCAACGCCGCGUGAGUGAAGAAGUAUUUCGGUAUGUAAAGCUCUAUCAGCAGGGAAGAAAAUGACGGUACCUGAGUAAGAAGCCCCGGCUAACUACGUGCCAGCGGCCGCGGUAAUACGUAGGGGGCAAGCGUUAUCCGGAUUUACUGGGUGUAAAGGGAGCGUAGACGGCGAUACAAGUCUGAAGUGAAAGCCCGGGGCUCAACCCCGGGACUGCUUUGGAAACUGUGUUGCUGGAGUGCUGGAGAGGCAAGCGGAAUUUCUAGUGUAGCGGUGAAAUGCGUAGAUAUUAGGAGGAACACCAGUGGCGAAGGCGGCUUACUGGACUGUAACUGACGUUGAGGCUCGAAAGCGUGGGGAGCAAACAGGAUUAGAUACCCGGGUAC
This 447-nucleotide ribosomal RNA is filed under the name uncultured bacterium. RNAcentral describes it as "bacterial SSU rRNA". It matches the Rfam family "Bacterial small subunit ribosomal RNA", at positions 329 to 793 of the family's 1533-position model. The record is from RNAcentral.